This is a long non-coding RNA of Macrosteles quadrilineatus (aster leafhopper), 1376 nucleotides long. RefSeq lists it as uncharacterized. Lineage: Eukaryota; Metazoa; Arthropoda; Insecta; Hemiptera; Cicadellidae. The transcript is spliced from 2 exons. The record is from RefSeq and is a predicted model, not a curated record.
AUUUAACCUCUUAUUCUUACUCUAAAAUCUGGCAGCUAAUCUCAAUCUGCCAAAUUUCUAGACACUGAGGUAAACUGUCAACUCCGUUCUUGAGAGAUUGAGAUUGAGGUUAUGUCUUGCUUAAUCUUAGUGAUUGCAAAGUACCUUAACUUAAGUAAUAAACUAAAGUAAACUAAAUAAAGUAAUAAACUUAAGUAUAAAAAAUAAAAUUUACUAUGGAUGUUUGUUUUAAGUUAGGGUGUAGCUAAUUAUAAGUUUAGGCAUAGGCUGCACUUUACUUUAGGUCCUACACUCAUCCUAAAUACAUUAUUAUUUGCUUUCUUCGUCUCUAUUUCGGAACACAUCACCUUAUUUUAGUUUCCUUCAUCGGUUUGUUUUAUGUUAUUUUUAAUUGUUUUUUAUUUAGGUUAAAGCGGCUAUUUGCCAUUGCACUGGAAGAGCAUGUCGUAACUUAAAUUAAUUUGAUCCCUUUAUUAGGUGAAUGGUAUUGAAACAAACUAUGAUAUUGUUUCUCUCUACCACAAUCUUUAAUACCUUAAAUCAUAGGUCUAAUAACAAUAAUUAUCUUAUAAUAAGUUCAAUUAGUAUGCCUAGUCUAUUUCAAACAUUCCAACAAGAAUAAAACCCUUGAUUAAAUAGUCUAGUAUUGACACAGUAAAUAAAAUUAAAAUGCGAUUAUUCUACAGAAAACAAUCGCAUAAUUGGGUGCUAAUACAUUGACAACAAAUACAUAACCUCUAAAAUCGCAAUUAUUAAAUUAAAGCAAUAACAAAACAAUAUGGCGUCGUCUCAAAAAGAGUAAUUUUUUGCCGAAAGAGAGGAAGAAGAAAGUGCAAUCAACCUCCACUCAACAGCUCGAUAGGUGUUGAGUAGUUUUGGUUGUAUAAGUCCACCGUCAACCGUUUCAAAAAUACGAAACGAUUGGAAAUAGAAUGACUCGACACUCAACUCAACAGUCAACCAUUUCAAAAAUAGGGCCCCAGACCCACGACAAGCUUGUUCAUGUGAGUCUAAAGUGAGCAGUGUCAUAUGACAAAAGAAUUUUCCCUCCACCCCUACCCAGAACGCUCCUAAAACCUGUUUCUUUGUGCUGAACCACCAUUUUUGUUGGAUUUAGACUUCCUCACUCUCAGUAGUCUCAGUUGUCAGUUCUCACUUAUCUAGUUCUGGUGUUGUGAGUUACUCGUUUCGUUACUAGUUGUGAGUUUUUUUUAUGGUUUUGAUACCAAGACAAAGCAAUGAAGAAUUAAGGGAUUCCUGUAAAGAUCUUCUGAAGCAGGCGGUGGAGUUGAUGGGUUCAGAAAAGAAGUUGAAGGUGAAGUGGAAGAUAGUGGGCAUUGUAUUUAUUAUAUUAAUAAAUUGUCUUGAAAUGUGAA